This 329-nucleotide unclassified non-coding RNA is filed under the name soil metagenome. Its description in RNAcentral is "partial contains 5.8S ribosomal RNA, internal transcribed spacer 2, and large subunit ribosomal RNA". The stretch from base 1 to 120 matches the Rfam family "5.8S ribosomal RNA", at positions 35 to 154 of the family's 154-position model. The record is from RNAcentral.
GAUGAAGAACGUAGCGAAAUGCGAUAAGUAAUGCGAAUUGCAGAAUUCAGCGAGUCAUCGAAUCUUUGAACGCAUAUUGCGCCCCCUGGUAUUCCGGGGGGCAUGCCUGUUCGAGCGUCAUUACAACCCUCAAGCUCUGCUUGGUAUUGGGCCCCGCCAGUUCUGGCGGGCCCUAAAGUCAGUGGCGGUGCCUUCCGGCUCCGAGCGUAGUAAUUCUUCUCGCUCUGGAGACCCGGUUGUGUGCUUGCCAACAACCCCCAAUUUUUUAAGGUUGACCUCGGAUCAGGUAGGGAUACCCGCUGAACUUAAGCAUAUCAAUAAGCGGAGGA